GUAGUUGCAGGCCUCCCGUCAGCAGCGGCGCUACUGGCUAUGUCCGGUUACUGGGAAGGUGCAGUUGUACUCCCCGGCAGCGAAAGGGCUUCCAAUCUUCUCCCUGGACACAGCGCUGGUCUGGAAAUCUGCACGGGAAAAACCUUCUUUUCCAGAAUGGAUGCACCAAUGUCUUCUGAUCAUGAAAUCCACUCUGGGCUGGAAGAACAUGUUGAAGUUGAAGUGUCUGUUUUCCAGAUAGAGAGGGAGGAGCCUGAAGAUGCAAUCAUACGAAUUAGACUGGGUAAUCGAUUACGGCAACGAAGGCGACGGCAACGUCUUCGUGCUGCUAGAGCUGGCGCUGAGAGAGCACAGCCACUACGAGUAGCAUGUCCAUUACAGACUAUUGAGAGUGAAACUGAGCAACCAGAAAAUCAUACAGAGAUCUCACAGUUAAUUCAAGAAGAACAACAGGAAAAUCUUCCUAAUGGUCACAUUGCAGAAUCUUCUGCAGUUGAGGAUCCUGAUGAACAACUCGCAAGAAAUAGAGAAGCUGCUAAAUUAAACGAGUUUGAGCGAAUCCUAAGACGUAGAGAGACUAUAAGAUUAAGCCAACAAAGACGAAGAGAGCGUCUUCGUAACAUGAGUCGAAGUCUUGAGGAAUCUCCUGAUCCACUUGCAAGGUGUCGAAAUAUGAUCCUGGGAUUUAGGGUCUCUGAGCUUCAGGUACUCUUGGGGUUUGCAGGACGCAACAAAAGUGGGCUGAAACAUGAAUUGGUCUCCCGUGCAUUACAGUUGGUAAGGAACAACUGUUCCUCGGAGAUACUAAAGAAGAUCCAAGACUUGCAUGCUCAUCGCUACAGUACAAGGUCCUCAAACGCACAGUGUCAGCAACUUCCGCCUGCUCCAACAUUUCCUCUGCAUUCUUCAGAGGCAGCUUUGAAUGCCAGAACGUCUGUUCCAAUUUGUCACACUGGAAAAGCUGAUACAAAAUCUAAAGUGAGAUUAACAAAAUUGCCUUUCUACGAAAUACUAGAUGAUCUGAUGAAACCUACAGAUCUAGUUCCAACCACCAGUGAAAGGAUUCAAGAGAAUCAGUUCAGUUUUACAUUAACUGAUAAACAGAGAGAACAGAUUAUCUCUGGAUGUUCAAAGAAUGGCGCGCAGUCAAUUCAAGUGCAGUUAAGGAUUUGCCACUCAGAUACAGAAUUUAUUCAAGAAGACCAGUAUCCUCCCUACCUGUCAAUAAAAGUAAACUCAAGGGUGUGUCAUUUUACGAGUUACUUCUCAUCAAAUAAACCUGGAGUAGAACCAAAAAGGCCUUGUCGACCCAUUGAUAUCACGCCGCUAUUAAAUUUGACAUCUCGUGGAGCUAAUUACUUAAAUAUAUUUUGGGGACAUUUUGCCAAGCGAUAUUCUGUGGUUUUGUACCUAGUAAGACAGCACGUAGUGGCAGAAUUGCUACAUAAGCUUCAAGCAAAUGAAACUAGAGCUUCGGAAAUUUCCAGAGAAUUAAUUCGAAAAAAGCUGCGACUGGAACCUGACAAUGAUGUAACCACCACUGGCCUCCGCGUUUCCCUUAUGUGUAGUCUUGGUAAGAUGCGGCUUUCGGUGCCCUGUCGUGGCAUUACUUGCACACAUUUACAGUGUUUUGAUGCAGCCCUUUAUAUUCAGAUGAAUGAGAAAAAGCCGACAUGGAUGUGUCCUGUAUGUGACAAGCCAGCCCCUUAUGAACUGUUAUUUGUAGACCAGCUGUUUUUAGAUAUUCUGAAGGAGUGUGAAGAUGCCACUGAGGUUCAGUUUAAGGAUGAUGGCAGUUGGAUUCCAAUAAAACCAGAUAAGCAGCCUCAGAAGAACUCUGGUCCUCAAUAUUCAAUAGUGGAAUUAGAAGCUUCUCUCUCCACCGCCACCCCCCUGCCAAUUUAUGCAUUGUAAUCCAUUUCCAUUCUGCUCCUGCCAAAAUGGACUAGUAUUUCUGAAAUCCAAGAUCCAACGACUGUGUUGUACAGGAAUCCUGGGUCUGAUAUUGGGAGGUGUUUUUGUUUUUGCAAUUGUCUAUCUGUCACCAUUGCAAUUCAAUUUUACUUGAGAUAAUACCACCAAUUACUUGAAGUCACUUAACUCCUAACAAUGCUUCCCUCAUGGAAUGAAUUACAGCCUGUAAGAAAACAGCUUGGAAGAUUAGAGGCAGUGCACUGCAGUAGUUUUAACUGUACCUGUCCAGGUGAACAAGCUAGAGUUUCAAAAAAUUUGGAUUGCUGUGCUUUUUUUUAUUAAGGAACAUAUUCACGUUCAUUUUUUUUUGCAAGGGUCUGAUCAAAAAAUAUAUGAGCAUAAAGAGGAUCAUAAUUAAACGAAAGUAAAAUACUGCAGAUGCUGGAAAUCUAACUUUUUUUUAAAAUGGAAAGUGUCAGCAUUGCCGGCAGUAUUUGGGGUGAGAGCAACACUUAAUUUCAAGGUGAAUGUCUUCAAAAAAAAUAAAAUUAUAAAAUAUCAAAAAAAGGUGAAUAGAAGUAGAAAUGUGACAAAAGGGAAGGUCCGGGCUUGUUAGAGGAUGGAAGAAACUAAGUAACAAAGACGUCGUCAAACAAAAGAUAAAGGGAGCAGUAAUGUAAAACAAAGAACUGCAGAUGCUGGAGAUCUGAAACAAACAAAAAUAGAAGUCACUAGACCAAUGCUGAAGAGCACCUGAAGAGAAAGCAGCAACAGUUUCAAAUCCAGUGAGCCUUGAAUAGAGGUAGGCUAAUGGUUGCAGUAAGGAGACAAAACAAUGGUGUAGCUUUGGUGUUAAUUGCAGAAUAGUGAAUAGUUCUCUGAAAGCAAAAACAAGAUACAGACUGGCACUUUUCAAGAGAGAAAGCAAUUGAAAUGUCGGACAUUGUGUUCAACCCAACAUGAACUCUGCAUUGAGUCCAUCAGGCUGUAAAGGACCUAAUCAGAAAAUGAAGAGCUGUUUUCACAAGCUUGCUUUGAUCUUCACUGGAAUAUCGUAGCAGCCCAAAGACAGAAGUAUGAACAUGAGAGCAGGGUGGUGAAUUAAAAUGACACUGGCAGCAAUCAGUUCAGUGAUCCUGCAAACAGGAAAGGUGACAUGGAUGUUAUUGACCUGACUAUAGAUUGUUGAUUUCAAUGGCUAAUUGCUCAAAAUUGAAUGUAACUGUGAAUGCUGGAGAGAAUUCACUAUCAACUGUGCAGGACACAAUAUGUAAAAACAUGUUGAAAGAAGUCUACCUCUAGCAUUGCAGGUUUUAGUUACUUUGAGCCCUUCCAGCUACGUCUACCUCCUGAAAGAACUGGUACGAUAGAGGAUUGGAGCAAUGACACUUCUGAGGAGUUCUUAUGGAUGUGAAGGACCAAUGUAUCAUUCUUGAAAUAUUUGAAGAAAUGAAGACCGCACUAAGUUAUAGAGGAUUGUUGAUAAAUUCUGCUUUGUUGACUGCUGAGUAGGCAUUGAUCCCUAGUCACAUCCCAUAAUCUUAAUGAUACACAGGAAAUGGGGAGAGGAGAAAUUCAUAGUCUGUUUGACUAGUAUCUUUUUGAUCUCUCUUUGUUUCCAGUACAUAUAUACAUGUCAAAGAAGCCUGAAAGUUUAUAUGCUGAUUUAUAAGAGGUAUAAUAAUCUUAUAGAUUAGAUGUAUGUUAGCCCAACUCCAUCUCACUGCUUGUUUUUUUUAAUUCUUGCAACAAAUAUAUCGUUAAUAUUUGUGGAAGCAGUUUUUGCUAUUGCUUGCAUAUCUAAUUUCUACCCAAUUUUCCCCCACUUUUUCACUAAUGGGAAUAAUGAGAAGUAUAUAGCAAAGUUAAAGUGCAUUCUCAACAGGAGUGGCUAGCUCAGAAGAACCUUUUUGCAGUAUAUUUCUCUUCUCUCUUAGAUCAUGGCAGGAGAAUGCCUGUGAAAAGCAAAACUGCAAAAAUGUCAGUAUCUAGAGAUAACUAUGUAAUCCAUUUGGGUUUUUUUUUCUGAAAAUAAGAUUUGGAUCUUGAGGCUCAGUUGGUUUAGAGAGUAGGACUUUUGACAACUACUGUGGCCAUAUUUAUUUGUUUCAGUUUAUUUUUCUAUUUUUUUCCAUGUCUAGCAGUGCCUGCAUUAAAGCUUUUGAAAUCAAGCAGGUCCAAUAGUUGGAUUGUGCCACUGCUGUUUCUUUACCUUAAACCAAGAGGGACUAGAACUAUGCAGGGAAAUUUCCCAGUUUUUUUUUUAAAUCCUUCCUGAGACUAAAAGAUUUGUUUGGAAAUUCAAAUGAAAUUAUAGUUGAGAAUGGCAUUCAACCUAGUUGAGCCCAGUGCUGUGAUGCUGUAGCUACUGAGAUGCCACUUGAUAUUUUUCUGCUUCCUUUUAAAGUUAUUGCUGUAAAAAGUUGUACAUAUCUGCAUAUAGUUUAUUUAGUUUAGUUUAUUUUAACACUUAAGUUGGUCAUGGUGUUGAAACACAUAAUCUCAAAUUAUGUAAACCGAAAAAGUUAAAGCACUGGGCAGAUGAGUGGAAUUUUGUUUUUGUUAUAGCCCUGCCACCAAUUUCUGAUAAUUAGUAAGUAGUGUGAUGAGAAAAUAUUGUGCAUUUAUAACAAUUCCAAAUUUCCCCAACACAUGCCACAUAUUGUUUCUGCCAUUAAUUUAAGAUAGGUUGUGUAAAGAUUUUGAAGGAGAAUAACAUGGGUUAAUGCCAACUUUUGCCUGCUCCAGUUCCUUCAUAGUGCUGCAGUCUGAUACUUCUGAUUCAAACAUCAAUUUUCUGUGUUGAAAGCACAAAUGGAUUUGUGAUGUAUUUAUUGCUUUCACAUUUUCACUACAUCUGAUUAUUGAAAUGAAAAUAUUGUCCAAUGUGAUGUUUUCACACCAUGAUUUCCAAAUCUAUAUUAGUGUUUAUGCUCUAGACUCUGACAUUAAAGUAAGGAUUUGGAUCAGUAACAUUGGCUGUAUUUUAUGCUUAUUCUAAACAUUUGCUGGGUAGGAAGUAAUCUAAAUUAAAUAAAGUCAUGUGAAAGUUUUUGACAUACGACAGCCAAUCAAACUCCUGUUCAUUUUCCUCAGCAGUCACUAUACCUGAUCGUUCUAUGAAAAGAAAAUUACAUCUUCAUGGUUUAGAAGAAGUACUUUCUGAGCAAUUAUUUUUUAAAAAUACAAAAUAUAAGAUUUAAUCAUAAAACCAAGCAUCAUAUCCAUGUCUGUAGGGAGUUCUACACAACUGUCAAAGGUUUGGAAUUUGUUGUGGAAUGAAAUAAGUAAGACUUAAGGGAAGUUUUCAUUUAUCUGUUACCUGAAAUUUUAAAUAGAAUAAAAUUUCACAAAAAGGUUGAAUGAAGAUUUUUAGACCCAAAUCUUUAGAAUAAGGGUUGCAAAUUUUCUGUGGACAUGUUAACACUGUGUUCAAGCAUUUGUCCAGAAAAGCUACUAGAUUGACCUUGACAGAAUGUUGUGCACUUUUGAAUAUUUAAAUGGAAUGCAGCUUCCAAUGACCAGAUGCGGUUUUACUUUACAAAUUUAGUUUUCUUUUUUAAAUACUUCUGCUUAUACAAAUGUCUGUCUAAAUGCUUAAAGUGAGAUGAAGUAAAAUAGAUAUUGGCUUCUAUUUUAAAAGUGCCCCUUUUAUUCACACCAUAGUUUAAAAUUGAACAAAAAGUCAUUGAUACUACUUAUCAUCUUAAAAAGCACCUUGUUAAGCAUGUUUCCUGCUCUUGUUUUUAGUUAAGCAGCCUUCAAAAAUGCUCUCAUGUAAUGUAGAUAAAUAUCAGGUUAUUUAAUAUUUAAUAAACAUUUAAACUUACAUCUCACUAUUCCUUUCAAAAGAAGUGAAAAUGUUGCCGUCAUUCUUUCCUUCAAGCCUGAACCUGGUUUCAACCAAAUAGCUAACUUUCCUUCACUGGUUCAAUUCUUCUGCUCAUGGUUUUCCACAUAUCUCCUGAUAACCGAAACAGGAAUACAAUUCUUUUAGCUAUGACUAGUUUUUAUUACUUUGUGAGAUUCGAGACAGCAUAUUUUAGUAGGAAUGUGGCAUUGUCGGUUAUUGCAGCCAAACCUAAACAUGUCCUCAUUUAAUGUCUACGUAUGUGAAAUCUUCAGCAAAUUUCACUGGAUAGGUAAUUAAGGAUUAAAAAUGUUUUUCCUCCUACCUAAGCUAGUGGGCGCUGUCAGUUGUAAUGACACGACUUCUAUUUGUAAAAUAUAAUAUAGUUAUUCUUGACCCAUGAUCUGUGAAACUGAUGCAGUUAUUCACUUUACAAUUAGGGGAACCUAUUUGCGUGGAUGGGUAGAGACAAUAACUUAUCCCCUCUUUUUGGAAAAUACUUUGUUUCUUUGACAGUGACAUGAAUGUAGAAAACCAUAUUGAGAUAUUACUACUGAUCUCAUUAUUUCAGCAUUUAUGUUAAAAUAAUUGCAGUCAUGCCAUUGGACAUGAGAAACAUUAAGAACAGUAUUUCAAAAGAAAACACGUUGCCUAUGUAAUUGUUGAGGACCCUCCACUCCUGGUGUUUUUCUUGUUUUCUCUCCUUUAUUUCAAGGAAUUUCCUAGCUCUAAUUUUAUAUGCAUAGUUUUUGAGCAU
This is an RNA transcript of Stegostoma tigrinum, 6521 nucleotides long. It is a transcript of the gene named E3 SUMO-protein ligase PIAS4-like, with no coding region annotated. The transcript has 13 exons. Lineage: Eukaryota; Metazoa; Chordata; Chondrichthyes; Orectolobiformes; Stegostomatidae. The record is from RefSeq and is a predicted model, not a curated record.